GGUCCCGUAUUGUUAGUUGUUGGCAGAUUUUGGGGGUCCCCAUAUAUUGGGUGGAUUUUGGGGGUCAACCUAUUUAUAUUUGGGGCGGAUUUUGGGGGUCCCUAUUUAUAUUGGGGUGGAUUUGGGGGUCCCCAUUUAUAUUGGGGUGGAUUUUGGGGGUCCCCAUUUAUAUUGGGGCGGAUUUUGGGGGUCCCCAUUUAUAUUUGGGGUGGAUUUUGUGGGGUCCCCGAUUUAUAUUGGAGAUGGAUGUUGGGGGUGAGUCCACAUAUCUCUCUCUUCCCAGCCCCCAAAUCCCCCCGGGACCCCCCAGUUUCCCCCUUUACCCCUCGGGGUCCCUCCCUUAAAGGGGCCGCGCCCCCAUUGUGGGAUGUGGGGAAGCCCUUAAAGGGGCCGCUCCCCCCGGUGGCUCCAUUGAUGUCACGCGGGGGCGGCCCACCCGUGACGUCACCCGGGGGAACCCGGGCUGUCCCCGCACCCCAUAACCCCGCCCCAAUGUCACCCCAUAACCCCGCCCCAAUGUCACCCUAUAACGGCCCCCGGGGCCGCACCGGCCCCAUUUGCAGCCCGACACGGAGACAUGCGGCCCCACAGAGGUGGGCGUUUGCCGCCCCCCCCCACCGUGAAGGAGCUGCUGGAAACGAUGAGGGGGGGGCGGCGGGACGGGCACGGUGAGUGGGACCCACAUAUAGAUCCUAUAGAUCCCUAUAGAACCAUAUAGAUCCUAUGGACCCAUAUAGGUCCUAUAGACCCUAUGGGCCCUAUAGAACCAUAUAGAUCUUAUAGACCCUAUGGACCCUAUAGAUCCUAUGGAUCCUAUAGAUCCUUAUAGACCGUAUGGAUCCUAUAGAUCCUAAUAGACCCUUUGGACCCUAUAGAUCCUAUAGAUCCUAUAGACCGUAUGGAUCCUAUAGAUCCUAUAGACCCUGUGGACCCUAUAGACCCUAUGGACCCUAUGGACCCUAUGGAUCCUAUAGACCCAUAUAGACCCUAUGGACCCUAUAGAUACUAUGGACCCUAUAGAUCCUAUAGAUCCUUAUAGACCCUAUGGACCCUAUAGAUCCUAUAGACCUCUAUAGACCCUUAUAGACCCUAUAGAUCCUAUGGACCCUAUAGAUCCUAUAGACCCUAUAGACCCUAUGGACCCUAUGGACCCUAUAGAUCCUAUGGACCCUAUAGAUCCUAUGUACCCUAUGGAUCCUAUGGACCCCUAUAGACCCUAUAGAUCCUUAUAGACCCUAUAGACCCUAUAGAUCCUAUGGACCCUAUAGACCCUAUAGAUCCUGUAGAUCCUAUGGACCCAUAUAGACCCUAUGGACCCUAUAGACCCUAUGGACCUUAUAGACCCUAUGGACCCUAUAUAGAUCCUAUGGACCCUAUAGACCCCUAUAGAUCCUUAUAGACCCUAUAGACCCCUAUAGAUCCUAUAGAUCCUAUAGAACCAUAUAGAUCCUAUGGACCCUAUGGACCCUAUAGUUCCUAUAGACCCCUAUAGACCCUUAUAGACCCUAUAGAUCCUAUGGACCCUAUAGACCCAUAUAGAUCCUAUGGACCCAUAUAGACCCUAUGGACCCUAUAGACCCUAUAGAUUCUAUGGACCCUAUAGACCCUAUAGAUCCUUAUAGACCCUAUGGACCCUAUAGAUCCUUAUAGACCCUAUGGACCCUAUAGAUCC
RNAcentral lists this long non-coding RNA (1672 nucleotides) under Coturnix japonica (Japanese quail). RNAcentral's name for it is "lncRNA (ENSCJPG00005006667.1)". Lineage: Eukaryota; Metazoa; Chordata; Aves; Galliformes; Phasianidae. The record is from RNAcentral.